UGGAAGUAAAAAGUCGUAACAAGGUCUCCGUUGGUGAACCAGCGGAGGGAUCAUUACUGAGUUACCGCUCUAUAACCCUUUGUGAACAUACCUAUACGUUGCUUCGGCGGCCGUCCCCCGGGGCGUCCGCCGGAGGAUAACCAAACUCUGAUUUAACGACGUUUCUUCUGAGUGGCACAAGCAAAUAAUCAAAACUUUUAACAACGGAUCUCUUGGUUCUGGCAUCGAUGAAGAACGCAGCGAAAUGCGAUAAGUAAUGUGAAUUGCAGAAUUCAGUGAAUCAUCGAAUCUUUGAACGCACAUUGCGCCCGCCAGCAUUCUGGCGGGCAUGCCUGUUCGAGCGUCAUUUCAACCCUCAAGCACUGCUUGGUGUUGGGGCUCUACGGUUGACGUAGGCCCCCAAAACUAGUGGCGGACCCUCUCGGAGCCUCCUUUGCGUAGUAACUUUUGUCUCGCACUGGGAUUCGGAGGGACUCUAGCCGUUAAACCCCCCAAUUUUUUAAAGGUUGACCUC
RNAcentral lists this ribosomal RNA (514 nucleotides) under fungal sp. GZ-2010a. RNAcentral's name for it is "eukaryotic LSU rRNA". The stretch from base 193 to 346 matches the Rfam family "5.8S ribosomal RNA". The record is from RNAcentral. Lineage: Eukaryota; Fungi.